Long non-coding RNA from Brassica napus (rape), 902 nucleotides. RefSeq lists it as uncharacterized. Lineage: Eukaryota; Viridiplantae; Streptophyta; Magnoliopsida; Brassicales; Brassicaceae. The transcript has 2 exons. The record is from RefSeq and is a predicted model, not a curated record.
AAGAUAUAGAAAGAGAAAGAUGUUUGACAAACACCUAAUACCAAAGAGACCCCAUCACAAUAAAACAUUAAGUUACAGGUUCAUCAUUCUUCCUCGAUAUUGCGUUAUACUUCAUCAAAACUGAAGAACAGAAAUCUAAUAAACUACUAUAUUUAAUCAAGCUGGUAUCCAUGUGUCAUGGUUAAAAGUAUUGUGAAACUUAUUUAACAAUAAAUUUGUAUGGUGAAAUAAAAAGAAAAAGAGAAAAAAGAUAGAUGUAGAAGGAGAUGGUGGCUUGGGCCAUACUUAAAAAAAUAACAUAUAAAACACGUUGAUGUGGCUGCCUUCAUUCUCCACUAUCCAAGGUGGCUGUGAUUGGUUGUUUCUUGAUUUGGGUCCAUAUAUGUUAUACAUAUAUCUAUAGAACUAUAUAUAUAAAGAUAGUAUCAUUAAUAUUCAUAAUUUGCAAGAGCCUCCUCAGGCACUGUAUGAGAAAUGGGGUGGCUCAAUUCUUUCUUCUCUCCCUUGAAGAAACUAUGGUUUCGCGUCAAUUCUACUCAAAAGAAGAGAAGAGGAAUAUACAUAUUAUACGAGGACGUGAAGUCAUGUCCAUAUGAAGAUGUGCAUGUUUUGUGGUCUAUACUCGUGGAGUCUCACCCACACACUUUGCAACCCAAACAAUAAAACCUCCAUUGUGCAUAGCUCUCGUUUUGGUUCAGAGUUCAUAUAUGGAAUGUUCAUGCUCAAGGACGAAACAAAGGAGAAAAUUGUUGGCGAAUCAUUCAUAUAUAUGUGUUACUCUCACUUGUACAUAACAAUAUAAAUACACAGAGAUUCUAAUUCCUUAUGGUUUUAUACAUUUUCUCUCUCGCGACUAUAUUGGUAUAUGGAAUGUUCAGAGAGUUCAUAUUCUCUCUCGUGAC